GACGAACGCUGGCGGCGUGCUUAACACAUGCAAGUCGAACGGAAAGGCCCUGCUUUUGUGGGGGGCUCGAGUGGCGAACGGGUGAGUAACACGUGAGUAACCUGCCCUUGACUUUGGGAUAACUUCAGGAAACUGGGGCUAAUACCGGAUAGGAGCUCCUGCUGCAUGGUGGGGGUUGGAAAGUUUCGGCGGUUGGGGAUGGACUCGCGGCUUAUCAGCUUGUUGGUGGGGUAGUGGCUUACCAAGGCUUUGACGGGUGGCCGGCCUGAGAGGGUGACCGGCCACAUUGGGACUGAGAUACGGCCCAGACUCCUACGGGAGGCAGCAGUGGGGAAUAUUGCACAAUGGGCGGAAGCCUGAUGCAGCAACGCCGCGUGCGGGAUGACGGCCUUCGGGUUGUAAACCGCUUUCGCCUGUGACGAAGCGUGAGUGACGGUAAUGGGUAAAGAAGCACCGGCUAACUACGUG
RNAcentral lists this ribosomal RNA (468 nucleotides) under uncultured bacterium. RNAcentral describes it as "partial 16S ribosomal RNA". It matches the Rfam family "Bacterial small subunit ribosomal RNA", at positions 28 to 507 of the family's 1533-position model. The record is from RNAcentral.